This is a long non-coding RNA of Siniperca chuatsi (mandarin fish), 755 nucleotides long. RefSeq lists it as uncharacterized. NCBI's taxonomy places the organism in Eukaryota, Metazoa, Chordata, Actinopteri, Centrarchiformes, Sinipercidae. The transcript is spliced from 2 exons. The record is from RefSeq and is a predicted model, not a curated record.
UGUUAUUUGACUAGAUGCUUUUCAUACUUAUUACAUACCAUAUGCCUCCUUAUAGGGCAGAAUAUGUGAGGACAUACUGGAGGAUGAGCGUUAAAGUGGCCUCAUGUUACUACACUCAACACUUCCUGUGGAUGUUGCCAAGCUGUUACUCCGAUCGAGGCUGGGCAAUAGGGAGGUGUCUUACAUCUUUCAGCGUAGGUCCCGCCCAUGAGAGUCAGCUCAACAGCAAGCAAAGCUUUCGGGUUCAAAAGCAAAACUUUUGGAUUUGCAUUAAUACAUCUUUAAUCACACAUUUAUUUGACUUGCAAUAAAAAAUUAUUGAUUGCAGUGUGGAAAGUUUUGAUCUCAAACCUAUUCUGUUUGAUUGCAUAAUAAAGACACAAAAGUACCCUCAUAGUUGUCGUUUUAGCCAGUGAGCAUCAACCUGGGGUCUAUUCCAGUAAGCAGGUUUAGUGAAAACUCUGAGUUUGUUAACCCUGAGAUGAGGGAAACUCUGGGUUUUCAGUUCCAGACAGAGAAGUAACUUAAACUCUGGAUCACUUACCGUGGUAACUGACUGAAACGGAGGUUUACUGUCAGAAUCUAAAUCCUGGUUGGAUAUUAGUUUGUUACUCAGGACUAUCUGAAGUUACCACUCUUAUACGCUGUCAGUCAUUUCUUUGAACAGCGGUUUUUGCACUCACAUUCAAAUGUUACACAUCAUCAAGUCACUCAGGUCAGAAUAAAACCAGAAUAAAAACUUUUCCCCACUCUGA